Ipomoea nil (Japanese morning glory) is the source of this 70-nucleotide long non-coding RNA. RefSeq lists it as uncharacterized. The record is from RefSeq and is a predicted model, not a curated record. The transcript has 3 exons. Lineage: Eukaryota; Viridiplantae; Streptophyta; Magnoliopsida; Solanales; Convolvulaceae.
CCCUUCCUUCGUAGAGCCCAUGUAUUGUAAGUGAUCCGAACCUGCCCAAAGCGAGCCUCCCAUGAUAAAA